GACGAACGCUGGCGGCGCGCUUAACACAUGCAAGUCGAACGGAAAGGCCCUGCUUUUGUGGGGUGCUCGAGUGGCGAACGGGUGAGUAACACGUGAGUAACCUGCCCUUGACUUUGGGAUAACUUCAGGAAACUGGGGCUAAUACCGGAUAGGAGCUCCUGCUGCAUGGUGGGGGUUGGAAAGUUUCGGCGGUUGGGGAUGGACUCGCGGCUUAUCAGCUUGUUGGUGGGGUAGUGGCUUACCAAGGCUUUGACGGGUAGCCGGCCUGAGAGGGUGACCGGCCACAUUGGGACUGAGAUACGGCCCAGACUCCUACGGGAGGCAGCAGUGGGGAAUAUUGCACAAUGGGCGGAAGCCUGAUGCAGCAACGCCGCGUGCGGGAUGACGGCCUUCGGGUUGUAAACCGCUUUCGCCUGUGACGAAGCGUGAGUGACGGUAAUGGGUAAAGAAGCACCGGCUAACUACGUGCCAGCAGCCGCGGUGAUACGUAGGGUGCGAGCGUUGUCCGGAUUUAUUGGGCGUAAAGGGCUCGUAGGUGGUUGAUCGCGUCGGAAGUGUAAUCUUGGGGCUUAACCCUGAGCGUGCUUUCGAUACGGGUUGACUUGAGGAAGGUAGGGGAGAAUGGAAUUCCUGGUGGAGCGGUGGAAUGCGCAGAUAUCAGGAGGAACACCAGUGGCGAAGGCGGUUCUCUGGGCCUUUCCUGACGCUGAGGAGCGAAAGCGUGGGGAGCGAACAGGCUUAGAUACCCUGGUAGUCCACGCUGUAAACGGUGGGUACUAGGUGUGGGGUCCAUUCCACGGGUUCCGUGCCGUAGCUAACGCUUUAAGUACCCCGCCUGGGGAGUACGGCCGCAAGGCUAAAACUCAAAGGAAUUGACGGGGCCCCGCACAAGCGGCGGAGCAUGCGGAUUAAUUCGAUGCAACGCGUAGAACCUUACCUGGGUUUGACAUGGAUCGGGAGUGCUCAGAGAUGGGUGUGCCUCUUUUGGGGUCGGUUCACAGGUGGUGCAUGGCUGUCGUCAGCUCGUGUCGUGAGAUGUUGGGUUAAGUCCCGCAACGAGCGCAACCCUUGUUCACUGUUGCCAGCACGUUAUGGUGGGGACUCAGUGGAGACCGCCGGGGUCAACUCGGAGGAAGGUGGGGAUGACGUCAAGUCAUCAUGCCCCUUAUGUCCAGGGCUUCACGCAUGCUACAAUGGCUGGUACAGAGAGUGGCGAGCCUGUGAGGGUGAGCGAAUCUCGGAAAGCCGGUCUCAGUUCGGAUUGGGGUCUGCAACUCGACCUCAUGAAGUCGGAGUCGCUAGUAAUCGCAGAUCAGCAACGCUGCGGUGAAUACGUUCCCGGG
Molecule: ribosomal RNA, 1343 nt
Filed under: uncultured bacterium
Lineage: Bacteria
Description: 16S ribosomal RNA
Rfam family: Bacterial small subunit ribosomal RNA
Source: RNAcentral